UACGUAGGGCGCAAGCGUUGUCCGGAAUUAUUGGGCGUAAAGAGCUCGUAGGCGGCUUGUCACGUCGGAUGUGAAAGCCCGGGGCUUAACCCCGGGUCUGCAUCCGAUACGGGCAGGCUAGAGUGUGGUAGGGGAGAUCGGAAUUCCUGGUGUAGCGGUGAAAUGCGCAGAUAUCAGGAGGAACACCGGUGGCGAAGGCGGAUCUCUGGGCCAUUACUGACGCUGAGGAGCGAAAGCGUGGGGAGCGAACAGG
This 253-nucleotide ribosomal RNA is filed under the name uncultured bacterium. RNAcentral describes it as "partial 16S ribosomal RNA". It matches the Rfam family "Bacterial small subunit ribosomal RNA", at positions 524 to 776 of the family's 1533-position model. The record is from RNAcentral.